This 439-nucleotide ribosomal RNA is filed under the name Hygrobates prosiliens. RNAcentral's name for it is "partial large subunit ribosomal RNA". Lineage: Eukaryota; Metazoa; Arthropoda; Arachnida; Trombidiformes; Hygrobatidae. The record is from RNAcentral.
GCAGGGAAACAGAUGGACCCACGAAGUCCUGUUGGUAGUGAAAUUCAAUUUGACUACUGUGUUGUUGGUCGUUAGUUGUUCGCUUGUCGAAUGAUUAUGAUCAUCAUUGCAUUUUAGUCAAUGCACUUUUCACUACCACGUUGGAGCUCUGACUCUUAACACACAACUUGAUUGUUUAGUGCAACUUUUUUUAGUGGUUAAGUCUCUUUAUUGAGUCUUAUUCACUUUGAAAGGAGUCAAAUCGAGUUACGGUUAAGAGGUGAAUUACUUACUAUUGUAAGUCUAUUCAGAUCGUCUGAUCUUGGUGAUGGUGUAGAGUAGGUCUCUUAAGUGACUUUCGGCUCUUGUAGUUGAAACCAUUUUUGAAUGCUUGCUCAUAUACAUUGUCAUCUUGUCAAACGAUGAUCCAGAGUAAGUAGGUCGGUCAUCCAUCUGACCC